UUCGUAAUGUUGGUUUGCAUCUCUCGGCCACCGUGUUCUUGACUGGCCGGACUUAGUCUUGAGAGCAGUUACUGUUUGGGGAUUGAGGAGGUUGAACAGAAAGUCGGAGAGCAGACAGGCAGAGAGUUUUCAGAGCAGUGGAGCUUCGCUUACAGGCUGGUCUGGCUGUUAAGGUAAGCUAAGCUAACCGGGCGGCUGGACUGGGACUUCCCCACCAACCGCUGCAUAAUCUCGGCCAGGCACUCUGGGAUUGCCCGCUACCUGUUAUCUGUUUCUGGUGACUGAAGUUUUAUGCAGACAGCUCUGUGGGAGGAGACACAACAGUUCCAGGUUUGGAUGCAGUUUCCCAGAAGCUCCCACCCUGUACUCCAGUAUCUGUACAUCUUCUACUUUAUAUAAAUAUUUGCUUAUGAGUAGACAGUCAAGGUAUCAAUUCCCUAUACUUCUGGACUGAUUACCUGAUUUUUUAUUUAAAUAAAUAAAAUCUUU
Long non-coding RNA from Girardinichthys multiradiatus, 489 nucleotides. RefSeq lists it as uncharacterized. Lineage: Eukaryota; Metazoa; Chordata; Actinopteri; Cyprinodontiformes; Goodeidae. The record is from RefSeq and is a predicted model, not a curated record. The transcript is spliced from 3 exons.